AUACAACAUUGGUCUAUCUAUCGCUCAUGCUUAUCUUUUCAGACAACGUUAACAUUGCCUUCAAUUAACUACAAAUAUUUAAAGCUAAAUAUCUUGUGCUUCGCUUAUAAAAAGUAGUAGGGGAGACCGGGUACAAAAGUAACGGCGGGUCGAAAGUAACAAAUGCUCUGAAAGUAUAUCCAACAAUCAAACACCGCGUCGAUGUCGUAAGUUAACAGCGGGGCGGUACUCCCCUUCCUUGCGUUGAGUCGCCACGCGCACCUCGCGCUGCUAGGUUAUGUGAGAAGACGCUUUGUGAUUUCGCACAUCAGACGAUCGUCUAUUACUGAUCGGCCUCUACAAAUAAACAGUGAAAUUCCAUCUAAUGAUGACGACGAUAAUGACGUGUUGAAUACUUUUGAUGCAACAACCACCGCCUAAGUUUAUCCAGACACUCCAGUUGAUAAUCUUCCAGCGUCGAGUGACCAAAUUAUCGAGCAUACAGUAAGCAAUGAUUUGUCAAAUAUAGUAUCAUCUAAUCAAUGAUCCAAUUCGCCUACACCAGGACCUAGCGGGUUACAGCAAGCAAAUUCUUUUCAGAUAUUUGAUUUAACACCUAAAGAUUUGAGACCCUUACCACAAGCAGGUCGCAGGAGAGCAAAAAAGAGAGGCGUAAAAAACGUAAGACAGCAAUAUUGACGUAUACGCCCGAAAAAAAACGUAAUUGAGGAAGAACACCUAGAAAGAAUUAAAGCUAAGAGAAGGGUUUUACCAUCUGUUACUGGAAAUGGCAAGAAAAAGUUACGAAAAAGGUAAAGAAAUAUCUACGAAAGGCAAGAGAAAAGGAAAAAGACAAAGAAGGCAGCUUAAGAGAAGAAAAACAAUUCAGACGACGAAGAUUGCUAUUGUCUCGUUUGUUUAGAACCCUUUGGCAAUAGCCAGCCAAGUUAACAGUGGGUUCAAUGUAUCUCGUGCAAAAUGUGGUCACACGCCGAAUGUGUCGAUGAUGAUGCUAAUUAUAUGUGUCACAAUUGUAAGCCUGAAUAAAAUAAGGCAGAUUAUAAAUAUAAUUACAUAAAGUUAAAAAAAUACUGAUCAUUACUAGAAGAGAUAAUAAUCUGAUUUGCUUUCUUAAAAUGUUUUUUUUUUAGUUUUUAAGCGUUUUGAAUGCAAGUUCUUUGAAUACAUAGACUUUGAAUAAAUAAUAUGUUGAUUUAGUA
Molecule: long non-coding RNA, 1199 nt
Organism: Bicyclus anynana (squinting bush brown)
Lineage: Eukaryota; Metazoa; Arthropoda; Insecta; Lepidoptera; Nymphalidae
Exons: 2
Source: RefSeq, a predicted model, not a curated record